This 505-nucleotide ribosomal RNA is filed under the name uncultured bacterium. RNAcentral's name for it is "partial 16S ribosomal RNA". It matches the Rfam family "Bacterial small subunit ribosomal RNA", at positions 29 to 523 of the family's 1533-position model. The record is from RNAcentral.
AUUGAACGCUGGCGGCAGGCCUAACACAUGCAAGUCGAACGGCAGCGGGGGGUAGCUUGCUACCCCCCGGCGAGUGGCGGACGGGUGAGUAAUGCCUGGGGAGCUGCCCAAUCGAGGGGGAUACCAGUUGGAAACGACUGCUAAUACCGCAUACGCCCUGAGGGGGAAAGGUGGGGAUCUUCGGACCUACCGCGAUUGGAUGCACCCAGGUGGGAUUAGCUAGUUGGUGAGGUAACGGCUCACCAAGGCGACGAUCUCUAGCUGGUCUGAGAGGAUGACCAGCCACACUGGAACGGAGACACGGUCCAGACUCCUACGGGAGGCAGCAGUGGGGAAUAUUGCACAAUGGGGGAAACCCUGAUGCAGCCAUGCCGCGUGUGUGAAGAAGGCCUUAGGGUUGUAAAGCACUUUCAGUGGGGAGGAAAGGGUGGAAGCUAAUACCUUUCAUCUGUGACGUUACCCACAGAAGAAGCACCGGCUAACUCCGUGCCAGCCGCCGCAGUAA